RNAcentral lists this ribosomal RNA (399 nucleotides) under uncultured bacterium. RNAcentral describes it as "bacterial SSU rRNA". It matches the Rfam family "Bacterial small subunit ribosomal RNA", at positions 64 to 507 of the family's 1533-position model. The record is from RNAcentral.
GAGCGGUCGUAGCAAUACGGCAGCGGCAGACGGGAGAGUAACACGUGGGAACGCGCCCUUCGGUUCGGAAUAACUCAGGGAAACUUGGGCUAAUACCGGAUACGCCCUUACGGGGAAAGAUUCAUUGCCGAAGGAACGGCCCGCGUCCGAUUAGCUUGUUGGUGAGGUAACGGCUCACCAAGGCGACGAUCGGUAGCUGGUCUGAGAGGAUGAUCAGCCACACUGGGACUGAGACACGGCCCAGACUCCUACGGGAGGCAGCAGUGGGGAAUAUUGGACAAUGGGCGCAAGCCUGAUCCAGCAAUGCCGCGUGAGUGAUGAAGGCCUUAGGGUUGUAAAGCUCUUUCGGCGGGGACGAUGAUGACGGUACCCGCAGAAGAAGCCCCGGCUAACUUCGUG